UACGUAGGAGGCAAGCGUUGUCCGGAGUUACUGGGCGUAAAGGGCCCGCAGGCGGUGGAGUAAGUUUGGAGUGACAGUUCCCAGCUUAACCGGGAAAGGACUUCGAAAACUGCUCGACUUGAGGACUGGAGAGGAAGGCGGAAUUCCGGGUGGAGCGGUGAAAUGCGUAGAGAUCCGGAGGAACACCGACGGCGAAGGCAGCCUUCUGGAAAGUACCUGACGCUGAGGGCGAAAGCUAGGGAGGCGAAGCGG
RNAcentral lists this ribosomal RNA (252 nucleotides) under uncultured bacterium. RNAcentral describes it as "partial 16S ribosomal RNA". It matches the Rfam family "Bacterial small subunit ribosomal RNA", at positions 524 to 776 of the family's 1533-position model. The record is from RNAcentral.